CAUGUAGGCGGGCCUUUAAGUCCGACGUGAAAAUGCGGGGCUCAACCCCGUAUGGCGUUGGAUACUGGAGGUCUUGAGUGCAGGAGAGGAAAGGGGAAUUCCCAGUGUAGCGGUGAAAUGCGUAGAUAUUGGGAGGAACACCAGUGGCGAAGGCGCCUUUCUGGACUGUGUCUGACGCUCAGAUGCGAAAGCUAGGGUAGCAAACGG
This 207-nucleotide ribosomal RNA is filed under the name uncultured Acidaminococcus sp. Its description in RNAcentral is "partial 16S ribosomal RNA". It matches the Rfam family "Bacterial small subunit ribosomal RNA", at positions 568 to 775 of the family's 1533-position model. Lineage: Bacteria; Bacillati; Bacillota; Negativicutes; Acidaminococcales; Acidaminococcaceae. The record is from RNAcentral.